This 223-nucleotide long non-coding RNA is filed under the name Brachypodium distachyon (stiff brome). RNAcentral's name for it is "long non-coding RNA (BDIS_LNC004248)". Lineage: Eukaryota; Viridiplantae; Streptophyta; Magnoliopsida; Poales; Poaceae. The record is from RNAcentral.
UGGCGCAUCUUCUGGAGGUGGCUGCUGCAGUUUCCUUUCAUGUGCAACAAUGGGUUGAGUCGGCUCCUGACGGACAGGUUCCAGACCUUCACUCAUUGUUGCCAUGUGUGUAGUUGUAACAGGUGUUGGCACCACAAUCUCAGAGAUUGUUGGUGCGGCAACAACAGGUAGUGAAAAUAAUGGCUCCUGAGUCAUCGGAUUAGGUGCAUGCACCCUCUUCUCC